GUGUUCCUGUCUGGGAGACAGGAAAUAUGAGAGGGGAAUGAAAUACAGGAAAAGGGAAGUGCUGGCAAAGUGUGUCAUGCAUAGUGUGGAAGGGCAUCAUGCUCCUGGAAUUGAAAAAUCAUAACGUCUUGGUUAUGAUUUUUCUUGAUUUUUCGGUCUUUUGUGGGCUAUUUUAAACAAACAGUGCGAAAGAGAAACAUAGUUAUUUUUUAAGGAAGUGGUCUGUGUCACUGGAUAUUGUAAGCUUUAGGUGAGGAAUAGAUUUUAGAAGUUCCUAAUGAUACUUGAUCUCCUUCCACUGACCACCCAACUGGUGGUAUGUUUAAAAGUUCCGUCCAGAUCCUUUCCCAGAGUACAUGUAAAUGAAACGCAACAGAGAGCUUAGAUCGCUUCUGUAGCUGGAUACAUUUAUAUGCAUAGAAGACUUAGACACCUUGUGACAAGUGGUUUCUUGUUGUAUAAGCCGUGUCAGAGGACGAGUGACAGUUAGAGAAAGUGCCUUACCCAGGGUCUUUUAAGAAGAGGUUAGCAGUAGCAGAAAUAAAAAUACCAGUCCCUGGGAAUCAGUCUCGUGGGUCAGGCCAGCUUCCCCAGGCAGAUGGGAUAGAGGCAUCUCAAGUUACUCAGCUGGACUGCUGCCUCCUCAAAGAGAAGGUGAACAGUGCAGAAGUAGGCUGGCACAUAACCUUCCUACAGUCUUAAAGAGCAAAAACUAAAAUUGUAGAAGAAAUAGGACACUAAAACUUUUCCAUCUAGAGAGAGGGUCGUGCAAAGGCAAAGAGGUUAAAGAAGCUGGCUGUUAUCAUCUGAUCAAACAGGCUGUUUGAUCAGGUCAGGGAGCUGUUCUGGAGCCUGGCAUGGGCUUUCACAGGGUGAAUGACAGGGGCUGCUAUCACUGGUGACAAGGUCACAGCUGAGAAAUAUGAAAAUUCAUCUUUAAGAAGAUGAAUCCUGCUCAAGGAAGGACACCCAGAAGAGGACUGAAUCCUACCUCCAGAUGAGAGGAAUUACCUGGAGAACUCAGGCAGGAGAGCAUUUGGGUUGUUCAGCAGGCUAGGUUAGCAGGAUGUCCAUAGAAGAGGGGAAAACAAAUGUGUCAGCACAAGAAAAUAAAAGCUAGUGCUCCGAGUUUGAUUCCAUUCCCCAUCACAACUCAGUUGCAAUGAAAUGCCGAAUAUUAAACACAUGGAGGAUCUAAAUUAAAAAGCAGAGGUCUCAGCAGCUACCCAGCAAUCAAGCGCUGUCUAUCUCACUUCAAGGACAAAAUAAGUGAAUCUGCAUCUCUGAGUUACUGAAUGCCUCCCAUGCUGAACCAGCACUGUGACUGUGACUUCCUACCGCCUUCUCUGUAGUUCCAUUUCUGAUGCUGGUCCAGAAAGUCCUCCUGAGAUUUACUGCAGGGCAAAAGGAUGAAGAGGAGGAAAAGAGGAAGAGUCACCAUGAUGGCUGUUGUAGGAUCUUGACUUCCCCUGUCUCUGUGGAGACAAAAAGUCUUGCUAAGUGUUUUAUUUAUUUUUUCUUCUCUUUUUACACUUUCCCAUCUGUCACCACAACACCAAAUUUCUCUUUGGUUAUGUUUUUAUUUAAAAUGUUGCUCAAGUUGCUCAGAAUAGGUUUUACAAAAGCACAAGGACUUUUCUUUUUCACAAGGACAAACUUUACUUCCUUUUCAAGGAACAGAGUGGUACUGAGAUGCUUCAUCAACCAGCAGAUGCUGGGGAAGUAGCUUUACUUCCUAUGUGGCAAUGUUAGGAUAGCACCUUAUAGCCACAAUUGUUCUAGCAGUGUCAGGAGGAAGUACUAAAAGUGUGAGAAUCACUGCACUCCUACUUUGUAUUUGGGAGAAACAAGGUAAACAACCAUUAAACAAUUUAUCAAGUGUCUCAUAAGGGACAGAAUAAAAAAAAAACAAAUGUUCUUUUGAUCUGAUCCACUAACCAGUGGCAACAUCUUAGAUGCUGCCCAGUGAUGGAGCCUCAAAGGUAACCCCACCCCCUAUGUACUGUCUUCACCUUGUCCUGAUGUCACAGGGUCAGUUCCUCCUGAGCAAAGCUGCAGAGUUGAUAGGACAUGUGUAUUAACUGCACUGAACACUUACUUAACUCCUUGUUUUCUUUCAAGUUUGCCAUCAUUUCCAAGCUAAGGAAGUCAACCCUAACCUACACACCCUCUUGGGCAAGUACCAUGUCUAAACGUAAGAGGAUAGGUCAAUCUCUCCACAGCUUACUCACACUGAUUUGUUAUUCUGUCCUAACAAAUUAGUCCCUCAGUGUUGAAUCUGGUAUUCUAAUUAAAAAAAAAAAAAAA
Sturnus vulgaris (Common starling) is the source of this 2307-nucleotide non-coding RNA. Lineage: Eukaryota; Metazoa; Chordata; Aves; Passeriformes; Sturnidae. The record is from RefSeq and is a predicted model, not a curated record.